UAAGGAAUAUUGGUCAAUGGAGGCAACUCUGAACCAGCCAUGCCGCGUGCAGGAAGACGGCCCUAUGGGUUGUAAACUGCUUUUAUUCGGGAAUAAACCUCUGCUCGUGAGCAGAGUUGAAUGUACCGAAAGAAUAAGGAUCGGCUAACUCCGUGCCAGCAGCCGCGGUACUACGGAGGAUCCAAGCGUUAUCCGGAUUUAUUGGGUUUAAAGGGUGCGUAGGCGGCUUAUUAAGUCAGGGGUGAAAGACGGUGGCUCAACCAUCGCAGUGCCUUAUAUACUGAUGAGCUUGAAUACACUUGAGGUAGGCGGAAUGUGACAAGUAGCGGUGAAAUGCAUAGAUAUGUCACAGAACACCAAUUGCGAAGGCAGCUUACUAAGGUGCAAAUGACGCUGAGGCACGAAAGCGUGGGGAUCAAACAGG
RNAcentral lists this ribosomal RNA (424 nucleotides) under Bacillota bacterium. RNAcentral's name for it is "Firmicutes bacterium partial 16S ribosomal RNA". It matches the Rfam family "Bacterial small subunit ribosomal RNA", at positions 355 to 776 of the family's 1533-position model. The record is from RNAcentral. Lineage: Bacteria; Bacillati; Bacillota.